Molecule: ribosomal RNA, 370 nt
Filed under: uncultured bacterium
Lineage: Bacteria
Description: bacterial SSU rRNA
Rfam family: Bacterial small subunit ribosomal RNA
Source: RNAcentral
AUUGAACGCUGGCGGCAGGCCUAACACAUGCAAGUCGAGCGGGGUUUUCGGACCUAGCGGCGGACGGGUGAGUAAUGCGUAGGAAGCUACCCGAUAGAGGGGGAUACCAGUUGGAAACGACUGUUAAUACCGCAUAAUGUCUACGGACCAAAGUGUGGGACCUUCGGGCCACAUGCUAUCGGAUGCGCCUACGUGGGAUUAGCUAGUUGGUGGGGUAAUGGCUCACCAAGGCGACGAUCCCUAGCUGGUUUGAGAGGAUGAUCAGCCACACUGGAACUGAGACACGGUCCAGACUCCUACGGGAGGCAGCAGUGGGGAAUAUUGGACAAUGGCGCAAGCCUCGAUCCAGCCAUGCCGCGUGUGUGAAGAA